Molecule: long non-coding RNA, 906 nt
Organism: Hirundo rustica (Barn swallow)
Lineage: Eukaryota; Metazoa; Chordata; Aves; Passeriformes; Hirundinidae
Exons: 4
Source: RefSeq, a predicted model, not a curated record
GAAGGGAUCCCUGGAAUGCGCGAGGCCGGGCUGGGGUCGCGGGAGGUGCGCUGGGAUUGGAACUGGACGGGUUCGAGAUCCUUUCCGAGCCAAACGCCAGGAACUGGGAAGGAAAAUGGGGACGGGGAUGGCGCCAAGCUGGGAAUGCUGGAGAAGGGAAGGAUCCAGGGAAUCCUCCGGGCCUAAAGGAGCUCCGGGAGAGCUGGAGAGGGAUUGGGAUGAGGGACGGAGGGACAGGACACAGGGAAUGGGCAAAGGGAGAUUGGGCUGGGAUCUUGGGAAGGAAUUCCUGCCUGCGCUGGAAUUCCCAGGACAUCUGCUCCAUGCCUGGGAUGUCCAAGGUGCUGCCGGAUGAGGAUCCGCGCCCGGAGCUGCCGCUCUUCCCGAGGAUUUGGGAUUUGCAAACAGCUCCCAUCAGCUGGAGCACAACUCAGGCCUGGAUGGAGGUGAAGCCUCAGCUGUGAGCGUGGAAAAAUUCCAGGAACGUGGACGAAAGCAGCGGGAAUCCCGACUCCGGCUGUGUCCAGAGGCGGCUCCUGGCCUGAAUCCUUGGGGAAUUUCUCGUGGAAUUUCUGCUCCUGCUGCUGCUGGAAAACCUUUGGAAAAGGGCUUUUUCUCCCCAAAACAAAACAAAAAAGAAAUCUGGGAUUUAAAAGGAAUUUCUGGGAAUCCAGAGCCGCUUUUUCCUUUGGGAUUUUUUUGGUUUUUUUUUUUUUUCCCAAAGAAAAAUGUGGAUUUUGUUUGCUUGAAGGUGCAGAGAAUUCCUUUUCCUUUUCAUUCUCCAGGGAAUUUAUUCCCUGUUCCGAGCCAAAAUUCCCUGUUUAAAGCUGCUCCCGCCGCUGUUCGUAUUCCAAGGGUUUGGGAAUGAAAGAAAAACCGGGAAUAAAUCUGAAGGGAUAUUUUUAA